This is a long non-coding RNA of Mesocricetus auratus (golden hamster), 751 nucleotides long. RefSeq lists it as uncharacterized. The record is from RefSeq and is a predicted model, not a curated record. Lineage: Eukaryota; Metazoa; Chordata; Mammalia; Rodentia; Cricetidae. The transcript has 4 exons.
UAGUCCCAGAGACUGCACCGCCAGCCCGCCCUCAGAAUCCGAAAGCCGGCGCCGAGGACCCUGCGUGGGCCUGGGAAGCACAGGGCGCUGGGCAGGCUGGCCUCCAGAGUGGGCACGGAAGCAGCUCAAUCGGCUCAGUUUCCAAGACUGGUCUUGCUCAUCCCUGGAGAUACACUGUACUUUGAUUUCCUACUUAGCAAUGACAAUCGGAAUAAGAAUAUAAAACUUUGCUUGGCUCUUGAACGUGACUGAAAUUCCUAGUCCUGGAGUGGGGGUUAAGCCUUUGAUGAGACAAUGGUGACAAUAAUUAGGGAAGAGCUCUAAAGCUGCAACAUCAAGAGAAACAUCAAGAGAGCCCAGCUGCUCUUGUCUGGAUGCGGUUUGUCGCUGCAAAAGCAUCAUUAUAUCAGAGCAAAAUAUUAUCAUCCUGAAGUUUGGUCCCCAGAAUCAUAACACCGAGAGGUGGUGGCAGCUGUGAGAGCUAGAAGACCCUCACCAGAGACUGACCAGAUGAGGCCGUCAGUCAUGGACUCUUGGCUUUCAAAACCGUGAGAUGAGUAAACCUCUCUUCUUCAUAAAAUAUUCAGGCUCCGAGACUUCCUUAUAGUGAUAGGAAGGGGACUAAGACAUUGGACUUAUUGGUUAUGCACAUGGGAAGGCCAAGAGGGUGCUUUUGGUUUUAAGGUUGGUGGAGUCCAGGAACUCGGCUGAUGGUCUCAACUGUGUUCCAUCCGCCACCCCCACCCCCAUC